Molecule: long non-coding RNA, 1844 nt
Filed under: Pan troglodytes (chimpanzee)
Lineage: Eukaryota; Metazoa; Chordata; Mammalia; Primates; Hominidae
Description: lncRNA (ENSPTRG00000054579.1)
Source: RNAcentral
AUUUGUUGCUCUUUUUUUCUUCAUUGUAUUUAUCAUUACUUGACAUACUAAAUGUCUUACUUCUUUAUUUGUGCUGUUCUGCCCUAGCUAGGAUAUAAGCUCCAUGAAGGCCAAAUAUUUUUUCUUUUUUUUCCCUAUAUCUCCAGCAUCAAGAACACUGUCUGGCAUACAAUGGACACUCAAUCAAUAUUUGUUGAAAGAAUGAACAAUGGAAUGAAUGGUUGUAUUAACCAUCAUAUCUGGUGACAAACCAAACUUGACCAGGUGACAGUACGAAGACUCACAGUAGUGGGGAAGUCCUGUCCUCAAGUCCAUGCAGCUCAGGAAUGGGAGAACUUGGAUCUGAGUGAGCCCUGAUUGUCGCCUUGAGGACCAUUGUAUUUUCAGAGCCUUGCCUUGCUUCUCAGAGGUGAGAGCCACCUCCAUUUCAACACGGCCAUUGCUGGAGCUGAGGCAGCCUCCUAGUCGCCCCAAGCAGGACAGAUGCUCUUUGGCUCCUUUGGGUUGGGAGCACAGAUAUCAACUGGACAUGAAGGGCUGGGACAGGAGAGAGCCUGUGUGGAGAGGAGGUUCUUCCAGGAGGUGGUAAGAGAACCAGUUCUCAUUCAUCAAGUGUCUACUUUGUGCCAGGCACUGGGCUGAGUGCUUCACAUGUGCAAUAGCUGUGGUUUCAGUCUAUAAACCCAGAUGAACAAGAACUAAAAUAAAACUCCCUUUCCUUUUCCUUAUCAUUUUGAGCCCCCAGUUUGCUAAAUAGGAGAAACCUAAUCUCAGUUCAUUUGGGUCCUACCUUGCCUCAGAAUAUGUCUAAGUUCCAUGGGUCUUUUUAAAAUGUAAAUUUAAAUGUUUUAGAGACAGGGUCUCACUCUGUGGUCCAGGCUGGUGCAGUGGCAUGAUCAUAGUUGAUUACAGCCUAGAACUCUAGGAUUCAAGUGAUCCUCUUGUCUCAGCCUCCCGAGUAGCUGGGACUAUAAACAUGCACCUCCGUGCCCAGCUGUAUUAGUCCAUUUUUGCACUACUAUAAAGAAACACCUGAGACUGGGUAAUUUAUAAAUAAAAGAGGUCUAAUUGGCUCAUGUUCUGAAGGCUGUACAGGGAAGAAUGGCAGAUUCUGCUACUGGGAAGGCCUCAGGAAACUUUCAAUCAUGGCAGAAGGCAAAGGUGAAGCAAGAUCAUCUUACGUGACCAGAGCAGGAGAAAGAUAGAGAGGGGAAAGAUGCCACACACUUUAAAACAAUCAGAUCUAGUGAGAACUCACUCACUAUACAGUACCAAGGGGUAUGAUACUAAACCAUUUGUAUAAACUCUUCCCCCAUGAUCCAAUCACUUCCCAUCAGGCCCACCUCCAAAUUCAACAUGAGGUUUGGGUAGGGACACACGUUCAAAUCAUCUUAUUCCACCCCUGAUCCCUCCCAAAUCUCAUGUCCUUCUCACAUUUCAAAAUACAAUCAUACCUUCCCAACAGUCCUCCAAAGUCUUAACUCAUUCUAGCAUUACUCAAAAGUCCAAAGUCCCAAGUCUCUUUGAGACAAGGCUAGUCACUUUCACCUAUGAGCCUGUAAAAUUGAAAACAAAUUAGUUACUUCCAAGAUACAAUGGGGUUAUAGGCAUAUUAUACUUCCAUUCCAAAAGGGAGAAAUCAGCCAGAAGAAAGGGCCUAAGGCUCCAUGCAAGUCUAAAACCCAGUAGGACAUUCAUUAAACCUUAAAGUUCCAAAACAAUCUCAUUUGACUCUAUGUCCCACAUCCAGGACACACUGGUGUGAGGGGUGGGCUCCCAAGGCCAUGGGCAGCCCUGUCCCUGUGGCUUUUCAGGGUUCAGUCCCUGCUACUGCUUCCAAAGGC